This is a long non-coding RNA of Oreochromis aureus, 1759 nucleotides long. The record is from Ensembl. Lineage: Eukaryota; Metazoa; Chordata; Actinopteri; Cichliformes; Cichlidae.
CUAGUUCUUGUGUAAUGUUUAGCUGAGUACAUUCCUCCCUGUGAAAUAUUAACAAUCAGCAUAUUUCACAACUGUACAUUUCAAACAAUCCAUCCGGCAACUCCACAUUUUUAUUUACCAUCCACCCACUCACUAAUGUUUGUGUUUGUUACUCUUGUUUCACUUUCUGAUAAAUCUCCAGUAUAUCUGCACAGUUGUUUGUGUGUUUCGUGUUUUCCAUCUGUUAUUCUUUUACACUUCCUGUGAUAACUGCCUAAAUACUUCUAUAUUCAAAUUAUAAUCCCUUCCAUCGUGACAAUUGCAGCGUGGAAUUUAGCAACAUGUUCUGGUUUAGGCAUGAAACUAAGACAUGAUUGCACAACCACUCCUUGUUACAGAUUUGAGCCUCACUUUGUUUGAUUUCUUCAGAUUGAAUAAAGAAAAGACAUCGAAAAAAAAGAGCUGAUGAUAACCUGACUGUGUAAACAGACAGCUCUGACAUGACAGUUCAGUUCAUCUCCAAUAAAGUAAAAUUGUUAAAACAGUCAAGGAAAAGAUCUUCUGUGACUGUUUACUGGAUUUUACAAAGUAGGCGUGUUUGUUUCUGUAUCUAUAAAUAAUCAAAUUUUUUUAAUCAAAGAAUUUCUCGAUUCUGAUGAGAAAGAUUUCAGAUUUUUUUGGGAGAAUGUAUAUUUGUGCAUCUCUGAGGCUUCGCAUUAGGUUUGGUCAUUACUAAAUACUAAAAAUGCAUGAGUUUUAUAUAUAUAUAACUACAUGUAAUUGUACCACAUUUAACACAUAAUUAGAUUUUUAUUGUUAAUUGUUUAAUCUUACGUACAAACUGAAUUAAAACAAAUAAUAAAAUGAAAGAACUAAACACAAAUGAUUGCCUUCCUAUACAGGUUAGACCUGAACUCGACCUUGUUGUUUUAACACCCUAGGCUGUUUUAACAGUGGUUUACGGUUGAAGAAGAACACAUUUCAAUCACGAGACAUUAGUGGAAAAACUUUCUAUAAACAUUCACUGCUAAAAAGGAAAACUAACUGUAACUUUUUUGAGUGUUAAAAGAUGUGAACCUUAAGUAAUCUAAUAUACUUUACCACAGCAGCCCAGUAGUUACUCCCACUUUACUCCCACUCAUAGCUAAAAGUAUGAUUAAAAAAAUAAAUAAAUAAUGUCCUUAAAUAAAGGGAGAGCUAAAGCUUUCAUGAGUCUUAAAACUUCAGUUUCACAGAUAAGGCAUGGACUAGAAAUGUUUUGCGAUGAAGCUCUUUUGGUCUUUUAGUCCAGGGUUAGCUUUAAUCCACGUCUGGGAAACUGGGUGAAUGAGUCAAGGUUGAACAGACCUUGAUACGCCUUUUGGGAUGUCACGUACUACAAAUUUUAUUGCUUUGCAUUUCUACCCACUGAGGUGUUUCAUGUUUCCGAUUAUUAGAUAAGAGCUGUGCAAAGUUAACAUGAUAAUGUAACUUUCUUAAUAAGCCAAUUAGAAGUUGCAUGAUGUAGAUUUCAUAAGGUAAUAAUGUGUGUACAAAAAAAAUUGCGUGUGAGAUAUUUUUAAUCCAGUUUUGAUUAUAAAAGAACAGCUUUGCAAACAGCUCUUUUUAAAUGCUGUAGUAGCACAUGUAAUCGAAUUGUUUAAACUAUUUAUGAUUUCGUUACUCAUUGAAUGUGGUCUUAACUUCAUCUCGGUCACACAAUAGUACUUUUGGCUACUCCCCAGACGGGUGGAUCUGUGUUUAAUUUGGCACAAAUUCUUCAUUGGAUUUUCUGAUCCAG